Molecule: long non-coding RNA, 818 nt
Filed under: Solanum tuberosum (potato)
Lineage: Eukaryota; Viridiplantae; Streptophyta; Magnoliopsida; Solanales; Solanaceae
Description: long non-coding RNA (STUB_LNC005576)
Source: RNAcentral
UCGUGUCACUUUUACUAAUAUAUAAGAGAACAGAUUAUUGGAUACACCAGUUCUUUCGCAUAUCUCUUUCUCAGGCAGAGGAAACAUGUGCCCCAGGUGGGGACCUACCUUGUUGCAAGCCCCUACAUAUGUAGUGUUACGCGAAACUCCAAGUUUGCACUCAUACAGUAAAACAUAGACGUUGAAGUCAACAAGCUAGACAACAGACAGUAAGAUAAAAAGAUCUGUAUUCCUAAUCCACAAUGUUUCACAUUUUCCUUCAAAAAACGUAUAAGAGAACUGAAAGAGAUCACGACGGAGAGAAAAACCUCAACUUCAUGACCUCGUACUCCAGCUUCCUCCAAUGUCUCACGUCAAUUGUUUCAUCUUUUUACCCAAGUACUCCCUACCAUAACAAGAGAGAUAUUUUUAUUUAAAAGUUAAAACAGAGAUUUCUCCAAAUGUAACAAUCAGAGAGUAUAAAAAAUGAAGUAGUAGUAAGUUUUGUAGUCAUGGAUCAGCGGUUACGUACCUUUGGAAAAAUCAUAAAACAAAGUCAAAAUCUGAAACUAGGUACUCGAAAAACAGAAUACUCCACCAGCUGUAAAAGCACCCCGACCACGCAUUACUAGAGGUUGAUUUCCAUAGAUUUCAGUAGUUACAUGUAAUUAAAUACUGAGAGUUGUGCACUCCUUACUGUAUCAUUGCAGCUCGAUGAGUCCCUUCUCUGUUGACAAUAUCCACGACUCCAACGAUAUUCAAGACCAUAAUAUACAUUAUUUUUUGUCAGAUAUAACAUAGCACAAAUACAAGUAAAGAAAACUGAUGAAGAAUGAAUG